This 778-nucleotide ribosomal RNA is filed under the name Curtobacterium flaccumfaciens. RNAcentral's name for it is "bacterial SSU rRNA". It matches the Rfam family "Bacterial small subunit ribosomal RNA", at positions 77 to 866 of the family's 1533-position model. Lineage: Bacteria; Bacillati; Actinomycetota; Actinomycetes; Micrococcales; Microbacteriaceae. The record is from RNAcentral.
AGCUUGCUGGGUUGAUUAGUGGCGAACGGGUGAGUAACACGUGAGUAACCUGCCCCUGACUCUGGGAUAAGCGUUGGAAACGACGUCUAAUACUGGAUAUGAUCGCCGGCCGCAUGGUCUGGUGGUGGAAAGAUUUUUUGGUUGGGGAUGGACUCGCGGCCUAUCAGCUUGUUGGUGAGGUAAUGGCUCACCAAGGCGACGACGGGUAGCCGGCCUGAGAGGGUGACCGGCCACACUGGGACUGAGACACGGCCCAGACUCCUACGGGAGGCAGCAGUGGGGAAUAUUGCACAAUGGGCGAAAGCCUGAUGCAGCAACGCCGCGUGAGGGAUGACGGCCUUCGGGUUGUAAACCUCUUUUAGUAGGGAAGAAGCGAAAGUGACGGUACCUGCAGAAAAAGCACCGGCUAACUACGUGCCAGCAGCCGCGGUAAUACGUAGGGUGCAAGCGUUGUCCGGAAUUAUUGGGCGUAAAGAGCUCGUAGGCGGUUUGUCGCGUCUGCUGUGAAAUCCCGAGGCUCAACCUCGGGCUUGCAGUGGGUACGGGCAGACUAGAGUGCGGUAGGGGAGAUUGGAAUUCCUGGUGUAGCGGUGGAAUGCGCAGAUAUCAGGAGGAACACCGAUGGCGAAGGCAGAUCUCUGGGCCGUAACUGACGCUGAGGAGCGAAAGCAUGGGGAGCGAACAGGAUUAGAUACCCUGGUAGUCCAUGCCGUAAACGUUGGGCGCUAGAUGUAGGGACCUUUCCACGGUUUCUGUGUCGUAGCUAACGCAUUAAGCG